AUUGAACGCUGGCGGCCGGCCUAACACAUGCAAGUCGAACGAGGGGCAGACGGGUGAGUAAUGUCGGGGAAACUGCCUGAUGGAGGGGGAUAACUACUGGAAACGGUAGCUAAUACCGCAUACCAUACGAUGUGCCCAGAGGGGAGUAGCUAGUUGGUGGGGUAACGGGGCACCAAGGCGACGGUCCCUAGCUGGUCUGAGAGGAUGAACAGCAACACUGGAACUGGGACACGGUCCAGACUCCUAAGUGAGGAAGCAGUGGGGCAUAGUGCACAAUGGGAGCAGGCCUGAUGAAGCCAUGCCGCGUGUAUGAAGAAGGCCUUCGGGUGGUAAAGUACUUGCAGCGGGGAGGCGUUACCCGCAGAAGAAGCACCGGCUAACUCCGUGCCAGCAGCCGCGGUAAUUC
This 406-nucleotide ribosomal RNA is filed under the name uncultured bacterium. RNAcentral describes it as "partial 16S ribosomal RNA". It matches the Rfam family "Bacterial small subunit ribosomal RNA", at positions 29 to 526 of the family's 1533-position model. The record is from RNAcentral.